CACAAAUGCUGGAUUCUUGGCAAGGAAUAUGGUACUUUGACUUUGCUUUUGCCUAGUUCCUCCAAGAAGUUUUGUAGCCAAAUCAUCUCCUUUGAAGCUUCUGACACUGCAACAUACUCUACUUCUGUAGUAGAUAAAGACAGUGUCUUCUACAGGUUGGAACCCCUUGAUACGGCAGUACCACCAAAGUGUAAACAAAACCAGUGGUGCUAUUUCUACAGUCAGCAUCUCCGAACAAAUUAGCAUCAACAAACCCCCGUAACUCCAGGCUUUCUCAGGUGAAACACAAACAUGAUUCUAUGGAGCCUUUUAGGUACCUCAAAAUCCAUUUCACAGCCUCCCAAUGUUGUCUUCCUGGGUUACUCAUGUAUCUACUUAUAGCUCCCACCACAUGGACGAUGUCUGGCCUUGUGCAACCAAAGCAUUCAUUAGAUAAUCGAUAGCUGAAGCAUAAGGAACCUUAUCCAUGUAAUCGUAUUCCUCCUUUGUUUUAGGUAACUGAUCUUUGCUUAGUCUGAAGUGACUUCCUAAUGGUGUACUGACUGGUUUGGCCUGGUCCAUGUUAAAUCUACUAAGUACCAAUUUCAUGUACUUAGCCUGUGAGAGUCUCAACGUACCCUUGACUCUGUCUCUGAUGAUCUUAAUACCAUGAAUUUGUUUGGCAGCUCCCAAAUCCUUCAUUGUACUGUCUUGACAAUUGUUUCUUCAGAUUGUUGAUCUCCACAAUGUUGGACCCUGCAAUGAGCAUAUCAUCCACGUAUAAUAAUAGAAUAAUAUAAGAGUAGUCAAAAUGCCUGACAUAGCAACAGUGAUCUUCCUAACAUUUGAUAUACCCUGAGCUGCAUAUGAAGUUGUCAAAUUUCUUGUACCAUUGUCUAGGAGCUUGUUUCAAACCGUACAAGCUCUUUAUUAGUUUGCAAACCAAAUUCUCUUUGCCUUGCACUACGAACCCUUCAGGCUAGUGCAUGUAGAUGUCUUCUUUUAGAUCCCCAUGAAGAAAAGAUAUUUUCACAUCUAAUUAUUCAAGAUGCAAGUCUUCAGUAGCAACCAUUGCUAAUGCUAGCCUGAUGGUCGUGAUUUUUACAACAGGAGAGAAGAUCUUGGAGUAAUCAAUGCCCUUUUCUGCUGAAAUCCUUUUACAACAAGCCUUGCCUUGUAUCUCUUGCUACCAUCGUGCUCAGUUUUUACAAAGUACACCCACUUGUUUUGCUAAGCCUUUUUCCCAGGUGGAAGAUCUGUCAACUCCUAUGUCUGAUUUUCUAGCAGGGAAUCCGUCUCAUCCUUCAUGGCCAACUCCCACAUGCUCGAAUUCUCAUCUUGCAAGGUUUCUUCAUAACUUUGCGAUUUUCCACCAUCUGUCAAUAGAAUGUAAUUCAAUGUUAGUGAAAAUCGUUGUAGGGGUCAAAUAUUCCUAGUAGACCUCUGAAUUGUUGUAGUAGGUGUGGAUGGUUUUGGAUCUGACUGUGGAGUAAUAAGAAUGGAUGCACUAGGCCCACUCUCACUGUCACUCAUGUCUCCACAUUGCACAGUGACCUCUGAAAGGUCAUCCAACUUAUGAACUCAUGUUGUUGAGGAGUUGUAUCAGCAACUGUGUUAGGCUUGUCCUUGUACAUAACUUUCUCAUUGAGCAUCACAUUUCUACUCCUAAUAAUCUUUCAACUCUGCUUAUCCUAGAAUCGAUAACCAAAUACCUCGUCUCCAUAACCAAUAAAAUAGCAUUUUAUUGAUUUUGCUUUAAGUUUGCUGUGAGUAUUGGAAUCAGCAAGAACAUAAGAAACACAGCCAAAGGUUCUUAAGUGGGAAAGCUUAACCUCUUUUCCGCUCCAAGCCUCCUCAGGUAGUCUAUACUCCAAUGGGACCGAUGGUCCACGAUUGAUCAGGUAAAUUGCAGUGUUAAAUGCAUCUCCCCAGAAUGUAGUUGGUAGCCCUACAUGCAACCUCAUACUCCUAACGUGCUCAUUAAUGGUUUUGUUCAUGUGCUCAGUGACACCAUUUUGUUGUGGUGCCCUAGGGAUGGUCUUCUCCAUUCUGAUACCAUGAACUGCACAGUACUUCCUGAAUCAUCUAUCAAUGUAUUCUCCACCAUUAUCUCACCUUAAGCAUUUCAGCUUCAAGUUUGUCUCUUUCUCAACUAGGGCCUUCCACUUUUUGAGCACAUCAAAUACAUCAGAUUUAAAUUUCAGAAAAUAGACCUACACCUUUCUACUGUGAUCGUCGAUGAGUGUGACGUAGUAUCGAGAACCUCCAAAAGACGUCAUUGGAGAGGGUCCCCAUACAUCCGUGGGCACAAAAUCUAGCUUUUUCGAUUUUUAAAGCUCUGCCACUCUUCAAGGAACUGGCCUUCUUCUGCUUCCCAAGUAUACAGCUCUCACACAUACCCAAAUCAAUUAACUUUAGCUCUAGUAGCUUGCCUUUUGACAAAAGUUCCUUCAUGCCUUUUUGACUCAUAUGGCCAAGCGUGCAGUGCCACAACUCUGCGGUGUUAUCUACUGUACUGGUAGCAAUAGUGUCAUUAGAACUGUCAGUCAUGUACAGAGUACCAGUCUUCUUCCCUCGAGCCAAUACUAGUGCUCCUUUAGUGACCUUCUAGAUGCUAUCUAAGAACAUUACUGAGUGACCGGAGACGUCGAGUUGUCCUACAGAUAUUAAGUUUUUCUUCAACUUGGGAACGUGUCUAACCUUCUGCAAUGUCCACAUGUUGCCAUUAGAAAGUGCAAUGUUAAUAUCACCAAUUCCCACAACGUUCAAUGCUUAUCCAUCAGCAAAGUACACUUUUUCGAAAUCACCGGCAACGUAGUCUCUCAUGAUCUCCCGAUGAGAAGAGGUGUGAAUGGAUGCCCCUGAAUCCAGUAUCCAAUCAUCAACAGAGCUGUAAACUACAAGUAGUAACCCAUCUUGUAUUUCUUCAGUUACUGUGUUCGCGUCGUCAGUAUCUGUAUUCUUCGAAUUUCUGUAGUUUUUCUUUAUGUGGCCUAUUUUGCCACAGUUCCAGCAGGUUGCCUGUUGUCCAGGCCUUGAUUUUCUCCUGCUCAUGUUCCUUGACUUUGAUCUUCCUCUGUUUGAGUUCUUGUCAUGUGACCUCUCAUGAGCAUCAACAUUUAGAAUGGAACUUGAUCCCAAGGUUUCACCAAAGUCCCUCCUGCGUACCUCCUCAGCCAAAUCAAAUCAUGAAUAUCAUCAUAGUUUAAUUUCAUCUUACCAGCAGAGUUAGUAACAGCCAUUCUCAUGGCUUCCCAACUAUUUGGCAGUGAUGCCAACAAUAUCAGAGCCCGAAUCUCAUUCUCAAAUUCAAUUUCAAUAGAUGAUAAUUGAUUAGUGAUGGUAUUAAACUCAUUCAGAUGUUGGGCAACAGAUGCACCUUCUACCAUCUUCAGAUUGAAUAAUUUUUUCAUCAAGUGCACUUUGUUGUUAGCAGAUGAUUUUUCAUACAUACCUUACAAAGCCGCCAUGAGGUCUGUAGUGGUCUUCUCCUUGGUGAUGUUGUGUGCAACUGAUCUUGAAAGUGUCAGACAAAUGACUCCCAAGACCUGUCGAUCUAAUAGCUUCCAAUCAGCAUCUGCCAUGUUGUUUGGUUUCUUCCCCAAUAGUGAAAGGUGAAGUUUCUUGCCAUAAAGGUAGUCCUCUAUUUGCAUCUUCUGGCAUCCAUAAUAUGUGCCAUCAAACUUCUCAAUACCAGAUACCUUCACUUCUUCUCCAGCCAUCAUUUUUUCUCGUAGACCCAAACCCAAUGGCAGUUGAAUAAAACUAGGAGAAGAUAAUCACAGCACAAGAAUUCACAAACUGCUGAGGAUUUUAUUACCUGAGGAAUUACACACACACACGGCCUUUUGAAGUUCUCACACCAAAAAGGAAAUAAAAGAAUACAUAUACAGAAACAUGUAAAAAACAGAAGCCCUAAUAUUCUUGGACUUGGACUUGGAUAGACAUGAU
This 3930-nucleotide long non-coding RNA is filed under the name Olea europaea subsp. europaea. The record is from RNAcentral. Lineage: Eukaryota; Viridiplantae; Streptophyta; Magnoliopsida; Lamiales; Oleaceae.